This 366-nucleotide long non-coding RNA is filed under the name Hordeum vulgare. RNAcentral's name for it is "long non-coding RNA (HVUL_LNC021601)". The record is from RNAcentral. Lineage: Eukaryota; Viridiplantae; Streptophyta; Magnoliopsida; Poales; Poaceae.
GAGAUGGCACUUGAAAACUCGUACAGAAAUCUAUCAACUUGACUUAGAGGAAGAAGUGGCAGGGGGUAGGUCGGCUGUUUUAAGUCCGGAUGGUUCCUCUUGUUGGCAUGGCGUUGGUAUGCCUCGCUAUCCUUAAAUCUAUGGACAGGGGAGAUAGAACUUUUGCUUUUCGAUACCCCGAGCCGAUACAUGAAAAAAGAGGGAUAAUAGUAGUAGCAAGGGUGCUGUAUUGGGUCAGUCAAAACUUACUACUUCCACAUUGGUACACGGCUCCGCCGUAGAUCUAUCAUAUAAAUUUCUAUUCUGGAAAAGCGAACCCGCUGAUAAAGAAUUUUAUACCGAGGUUGGAGUUAGUCAACUCAAUAA